This 116-nucleotide ribosomal RNA is filed under the name Pogona vitticeps (central bearded dragon). The record is from RNAcentral. Lineage: Eukaryota; Metazoa; Chordata; Lepidosauria; Squamata; Agamidae.
UACUACCACAUCACCCUGAACACAUGAGAUAUCUGAUUUUUGGAAGUUAAGCAGGAGUGGGUUUGGUUAGUGCUUGGAUAGGAGACCACUAGAGAAUCCACUGCAUUUCCAAGUAU